UAAGGAUUUAAAAGUCGAACAGACUUAAUAUUAAGAAUUCUGCUUCUUAAGCUUUACCUUAAUUCAACAUCGAGGUCGCAAAAAUUAAUAUAGAUAUGAACUCGCCAUUAUAAUUACGCUGUUAUCCCUAAGGUAACUUUAUCUUAUUAUCUCUAAAAAAGAUCAAAAAUUACACGAAUAAUGAAUAUAAAAAUUAAAGUUAGAAUUUAAUUGCCGCCCCAACAAAAAAUAACAUUGAUUUUAAAUUUUAAAAAUAAAAGUUCAACUUCAAUUUAAAUUUUAAGUUCUAUAGGGUCUUAUCGUCCCAAUAAUACAAUUAAGCAUUUUAACUUAAAAUUAAAAUUUUAAUAAUUAAAUAAAUAAAAAUUAAAUCUCAUUAAUUCGUUCAUUCCAGCUCCCAAUUAAGAAACUAAUUAUUAUGCUACCUUUGCACAGUCAAAAUACUGCAGCCAUUUAAAUAAUCAUAGGGCAGAAUAUACUUUUUAAAUAAACA
RNAcentral lists this ribosomal RNA (493 nucleotides) under Scaphoidella dimidiatus. RNAcentral describes it as "partial 16S ribosomal RNA". The record is from RNAcentral. Lineage: Eukaryota; Metazoa; Arthropoda; Insecta; Hemiptera; Cicadellidae.